RNAcentral lists this unclassified non-coding RNA (422 nucleotides) under plant metagenome. RNAcentral describes it as "partial contains 5.8S ribosomal RNA, internal transcribed spacer 2, and large subunit ribosomal RNA". It matches the Rfam family "Bacterial small subunit ribosomal RNA", at positions 358 to 777 of the family's 1533-position model. The record is from RNAcentral.
GGAAUAUUGCACAAUGGGCGCGAGCCUGAACCAGCCAAGUAGCGUGCAGGAUGACGGCCCUAUGGGUUGUAAACUGCUUUUGUAUGGGGAUAAAGUCAAUCACGUGUGAUUGUUUGCAGGUACCAUACGAAUAAGGACCGGCUAAUUCCGUGCCAGCAGCCGCGGUAAUAUGGAAGGUCCGGGCGUUAUCCGGAUUUAUUGGGUUUAAAGGGAGCGUAGGCCGGAGAUUAAGUGUGUUGUGAAAUGUAGACGCUCAACGUCUGACUUGCAGCGCAUACUGGUUUCCUUGAGUACGCACAACAUUGGCGGAAUUCGUCGUGUAGCGGUGAAAUGCUUAGAUAUGACGAAGAACUCCGAUUGCGAAGGCAGCUGACGGGAGCGCAACUGACGCUUAAGCUCGAAGGUGCGGGUAUCGAACAGGA